This 468-nucleotide ribosomal RNA is filed under the name uncultured bacterium. RNAcentral's name for it is "partial 16S ribosomal RNA". It matches the Rfam family "Bacterial small subunit ribosomal RNA", at positions 28 to 507 of the family's 1533-position model. The record is from RNAcentral.
GACGAACGCUGGCGGCGUGCUUAACACAUGCAAGUCGAACGGAAAGGCCCUGCUUUUGUGGGGUGCUCGAGUGGCGAACGGGUGAGUAACACGUGAGUAACCUGCCCUUGACUUUGGGAUAACUUCAGGAAACUGGGGCUAAUACCGGAUAGGAGCUCCUGCUGCAUGGUGGGGGUUGGAAAAUUUCGGCGGUUGGGGAUGGACUCGCGGCUUAUCAGCUUGUUGGUGGGGUAGUGGCUUACCAAGGCUUUGACGGGUAGCCGGCCUGAGAGGGUGACCGGCCACAUUGGGACUGAGAUACGGCCCAGACUCCUACGGGAGGCAGCAGUGGGGAAUAUUGCACAAUGGGCGGAAGCCUGAUGCAGCAACGCCGCGUGCGGGAUGACGGCCUUCGGGUUGUAAACCGCUUUCGCCUGUGAUGAAGCGUGAGUGACGGUAAUGGGUAAAGAAGCACCGGCUAACUACGUG